GCUCGCUUAGCUCAGUUGGUUAGAGCGUCGUACUAACAAUGCGAAGGUCGCCAGUUCGACCCUGGUAAGUGAACA
This 75-nucleotide transfer RNA is filed under the name Magnaporthiopsis poae ATCC 64411. RNAcentral's name for it is "tRNA-Val (AAC) (tRNA-Val-AAC-6-1)". It matches the Rfam family "tRNA". Rfam says of the family: Transfer RNA (tRNA) molecules are approximately 80 nucleotides in length. Lineage: Eukaryota; Fungi; Ascomycota; Sordariomycetes; Magnaporthales; Magnaporthaceae. The record is from RNAcentral.